This 468-nucleotide ribosomal RNA is filed under the name uncultured bacterium. RNAcentral describes it as "partial 16S ribosomal RNA". It matches the Rfam family "Bacterial small subunit ribosomal RNA", at positions 28 to 507 of the family's 1533-position model. The record is from RNAcentral.
GACGAACGCUGGCGGCGUGCUUAACACAUGCAAGUCGAACGGAAAGGCCCUGCUUUUGUGGGGUGCUCGAGUGGCGAACGGGUGAGUAACACGUGAGUAACCUGCCCUUGACUUUGGGAUAACUUCAGGAAACUGGGGCUAAUACCGGAUAGGAGCUCCUGCUGCAUGGUGGGGGUUGGAAAGUUUCGGCGGUUGGGGAUGGACUCGCGGCUUAUCAGCUUGUUGGUGGGGUAGUGGCUUACCAAGGCUUUGACGGGUAGCCGGCCUGAGAGGGUGACCGGCCACAUUGGGACUGGGAUACGGCCCAAACUCCUACGGGAGGAAGCAGUGGGGAAUAUUGCACAAUGGGCGGAAGCCUGAUGCAGCAACGCCGCGGGCGGGAUGACGGCCUUCGGGUUGUAAACCGCUUUCGCCUGUGACGAAGCGUGAGUGACGGUAAUGGGUAAAGAAGCACCGGCUAACUACGUG